Molecule: RNA transcript, 2298 nt
Organism: Strigops habroptila (Kakapo)
Lineage: Eukaryota; Metazoa; Chordata; Aves; Psittaciformes; Psittacidae
Gene: TRAF3IP2
Gene name: TRAF3 interacting protein 2
Exons: 11
Source: RefSeq, a predicted model, not a curated record
GGGUGUCGUAAAAGGAGGAGAAAAAACCACCCGGCUGACUGAGGAAGGAGACCCGGGCACGCCGAGAGCGCGGCGGGGUGCGCAGGAGGCACGCCAGCCCUCUCGCUCUCCUCGGUCAGCUCAGCGAGAGCCGCCCUUGCCCACAAGUUUGCUGGAAAAUCCUGGCCUUGCAGUAAGGCAGCUGACUCUCAUUUCCGGUGCAACUACAAAACUUGGAAAUGGCCUCUGUGUCAGGCACUUCUGUGGGUCAAAGCAUACCGGUUGAAAUAGAUGAAUCCAUGCCGUGGUCCCCAUUUCCUGAACAUAUCUUGGAAAAGGCUUUGCAGUCUUCUGGAGAGGAUACAAAGGAUGAGGAGUCCCAGAGACCAUGUGUCUCUCAAACACUUGAGCCUGUGGCCAACGCAUCGUGCCUCUGCGGAGCAUCAGCACAUUGUCAGUCAGCACCGUCCAUGGACCCGGACAGCAGCUUGUGGUCCAGAUACACUGAUCCUGACGUAGAUGGACACUUCUGUUCCCCCAGUGAAUCAAUAGCUGGAAUAGUUGCCUCCAAGAUGCAUCUUGUAGCUAUGGACAAACCAGGCAUGCAGCCAAGAUCACAGCUUUCAGCUGACACUGGACACAACUCCAGUAAAUCAGAGCAAAGCUUGUCUGAUGCUCCUGAGGACUCACUGGAGGAGAGCAGCCAAGGGAGUUCACGGUCACGGCAACACUCAGGAAACAGACCCCCAGCAGAGCUGGGGACCGUGGACACAGGGUACAGCUCCCAGUCACGAGAUGUCAUGGGCAUCAGGCACCUGGAUCCCCCCUUACCGCUGGUGUCCAUGCUGAACCCCCAGGACCUUCCAGGACCACUGAUGUCCAGAGUGUAUUUUGGACCUGAGCAUCAGCAGUGCCCUAUGUGCCAGCACUUGCCCCAUCCCAACACCUCCUCACAAGACCAUGGAUGCUUUGAGCACCGCUGCCUGGCAAAGCAGCACCCCCAGGGCCCAUAUGGCAGAGCUCCUUACCAACAUUUUGAACAUGCGUCGCAACCGCUUCCUCCUGUUCCUGGACCUUGCAUGAGAGUUAUCCGCCCGGCCCAGCAAGUCAUCCCAAAUUACUCAGACCUUCGUGCUCCCCAGGGCACCAGAGGCCGACCACCCCAGAGGACAUGCUCCUCCCCUGGUCCUCCUCGAUUCCCAAAUCAGCUAUACAACCAGCUACCUAAUGGCCAGCUGACCCCCAAGGCAUGUGGCCCAGAUGAAGCAUGUUGCUGUCCUUGUGACAAUUUUCCAUCUCCAGCUGCCGUCCCGAGACCUCUCAGUAACCCUGCAGCCAAGGGAACUCUGAGAACCAGCAAUUUGCCAGAGGAGUUGCGCAAGGUCUUUAUAACCUAUUCGGUGGACACAGCAGUGGAGGUUAUGAAAUUCGUGAACUUCCUGCUUGUAAAUGGAUUUCAAACUGCUAUUGAUAUAUUUGAGGACACGGUACGAGGUAUUGACAUCAUUAAGUGGAUGGAGCGGUAUCUAGGUGAUAAGACGGUGAUGAUAAUCAUAGCAAUCAGUCCAAAAUACAAACAGGAUGUGGAAGGGGCAGAAUCCCAGCUGGACAGGGAUGAACACGGCUUACAUACUAAAUACAUCCACAGGAUGAUGCAGAUCGAGUUUAUACAACAAGGAAGUAUGAACUUCAGAUUCAUCCCUGUGCUUUUUCCAAAUGCUAGAAAGGUAAUGAUAAUAUAACUGAGGACAUCAUGGGUGGAAGGAGAGCACCAGAGCCUGAACAAGUUGCAGUAAUGAAGUCUGUGGGCAAUCAGAGGAAGUGAGGAACACGUGCCUACCUGGCUGCAGAACACUCACAUUUAUAACUGGCCAAAGAAUAAGAAGAACAUCCUUUUGCGGUUACUGAGGGAGGAGGAAUACAUUGCUCCUCCAGUAGGACCUUUACCAACACUCCAGGUUGUGCCAUUAUGAACGUUAUUGCUUAAAGUGCACUACAAGCAGUUGUUAAAGGGUUGUUCUUGGCAGGGAGCCAGUGCUCUUCCAGAUGGCUCUUUUUGAUGACAGAAGACACUCUUUCUGCUAAAGGAAUCGGUUGUCUUGGGUAACUCAGGCUCGGCUUGUUCUCUACCAUGAUAAACAUCUAUUUCUGAAGCUGAUGGGGAAGAACUCUUUUCUCUAGAUUUUUAAGAGCUGCACAUGGAAAGAAUGCCCAGUUUUAUUUUAACAUCUGUUUUUAACAUAUUCCUUUAUUAGUCGAUAUGGCAAACAAAUACCAGAAAUAAUGUUGCAAUGAGUGUAAAAUAAAAAUUACAUCCUC